This 263-nucleotide ribosomal RNA is filed under the name uncultured bacterium. Its description in RNAcentral is "partial 16S ribosomal RNA". It matches the Rfam family "Bacterial small subunit ribosomal RNA", at positions 29 to 319 of the family's 1533-position model. The record is from RNAcentral.
AGCGAACGCUGGCGGCAGGCUUAACACAUGCAAGUCGAGCGGGCGUAGCAAUACGUCAGCGGCAGACGGGUGAGUAACGCGUAGGAACGUACCUUUUGGUUCGGGAUAACCCAGGGAAACUUGGGCUAAUACCGGAUAAGCCCUUACGGGAAGGAUUAUCGCCGAAGAUCGGCCCGCGUCUGAUUAGCUAGUUGGUUGAGGUAACGGCUCACCAAGGCGACGAUCAGUAGCUGGUCUGAGAGGAUGAUCAGCCACAUUGGGAC